Molecule: transfer RNA, 85 nt
Filed under: Synechococcaceae cyanobacterium SM2_3_2
Lineage: Bacteria; Bacillati; Cyanobacteriota; Cyanophyceae; Synechococcales; Synechococcaceae
Also listed under: 1 other name
Description: tRNA-Ser
Rfam family: tRNA
About the family: Transfer RNA (tRNA) molecules are approximately 80 nucleotides in length.
Source: RNAcentral
GGAGAGGUGGCCGAGUGGUCGAAGGCGCAGCACUGGAAAUGCUGUGUAGGGCAACUUACCGUGGGUUCGAAUCCCACCCUCUCCG